Molecule: ribosomal RNA, 791 nt
Filed under: uncultured Methanobacteriaceae archaeon
Lineage: Archaea; Methanobacteriati; Methanobacteriota; Methanobacteria; Methanobacteriales; Methanobacteriaceae
Description: bacterial SSU rRNA
Rfam family: Archaeal small subunit ribosomal RNA
Source: RNAcentral
GCUCAGUAACACGUGGAUAACCUACCCUUAGGACCGGGAUAACCCUGGGAAACUGGGGCUAAUACUGGAUAGAUGAUUUUUCCUGGAAUGGUUUUUUGUUUAAAUGUUUUUUCGCCUAAGGAUGAGUCUGCGGCCGAUUAGGUAGUUGGUUAGGUAAUGGCUUACCAAGCCGUUGAUCGGUACGGGUUGUGAGAGCAAGAGCCCGGAGAUGGAACCUGAGACAAGGUUCCAGGCCCUACGGGGUGCAGCAGGCGCGAAACCUCCGCAAUGUGAGAAAUCGCGACGGGGGGAUCCCAAGUGCCAUUCUUAACGGGAUGGCUUUUCAUUAGUGUAAAGAGCUUUUGGAAUAAGAGCUGGGCAAGACCGGUGCCAGCCGCCGCGGUAACACCGGCAGCUCUAGUGGUAACAAUUUUUAUUGGGCCUAAAGCGUCCGUAGCCGGUUUAAUAAGUCUCUGGUGAAAUCCUGCAGCUUAACUGUGGGAAUUGCUGGAGAUACUAUUAGACUUGAGACCGGGAGAGGUUAGAGGUACUCCCAGGGUAGAGGUGAAAUUCUGUAAUCCUGGGAGGACCGCCUGUUGCGAAGGCGUCUAACUGGAACGGUUCUGACGGUGAGGGACGAAAGUUAGGGGCGCGAACCGGAUUAGAUACCCGGGUAGUCCUAACUGUAAACGAUGCGGACUUGGUGUUGGGGUGGCUUUGAGCUGCUUCAGUGCCGAAGGGAAGCUGUUAAGUCCGCCGCCUGGGAAGUACGGUCGCAAGACUGAAACUUAAAGGAAUUGGCGGGGGAGCAC